Long non-coding RNA from Nerophis ophidion (straightnose pipefish), 759 nucleotides. RefSeq lists it as uncharacterized. The record is from RefSeq and is a predicted model, not a curated record. Lineage: Eukaryota; Metazoa; Chordata; Actinopteri; Syngnathiformes; Syngnathidae. The transcript is spliced from 2 exons.
UUUGACUCGCUCGACCGCUCAUAAAAGCAAUGGGACUCUGUCUGUGAAUGGAGCUUGUAGUUACAACUCCGGUGCAGUAGGUGGCGGUAGCCUACUAUGCAUUGUAACUCCGCCAAUUGCCCUUAAUUCGGAAGAAGAAGAACACAUGACUACGACAAAGUAAAGGAAUAACGGAUCGACCGGAUCAACAUACGAGGGAGGACACUGGAUAAACUGCUGGCCAUAAUGGACAAUCCUGCCCACCCACUACACCAGAAAAUUCAGGGACAGCGGAGUACAUACUCCAACAAGCUCCUCCAGCUUCCUUCCCGCACUGUGCGAUUCAAGAACUCCUUCAUUCCGCACUCCAUCCAGCUGUAUAAUCACUCCCCAUACAGCAAUAGAUAAUAUCCGUCCAUUACCUGACACCCUCAAUGUCAGCUACUUCUCUUUGUUUUUAAUGUCUAUAUUCUAUUUUCUGCUGGAUCUACUCUCUAUUCUAUUUUAUGCUGGGGCUGCCACAUAUACUGUAAUAUUGUACAUGGUAAUUGGUAUAUAUUGUAUAUAUCAUAUAGACAUAAUAUAUCUGUAUAUAUAAUGUACUGUACAUAUAUUAAGUAUAUAUUGUAUAUAUUCGCAGCUAUGUUAAAUUUUAUAUUGCUAUAUCUAGUCUAUUUAUACCUGCAUUGUCAUUUCCAUCCUUACACUCUCCAUCAUUGUAACUGAGCUACUGUGUUGAACAAUUUCCCUUGUGGAUCAUUAAAGUUUGUCUAAGUCUAA